GAGAAAUAUUUCAUGGUCUGAACAUUACUUAUAUAAAAUAAGCUAGUACACUGAGUUAAUGUUUUUUGUCUCUACCUAAAUCAUAUUCUAAAUUAUCUGAAAAUUAAGCCUUGUGAUUGUUUUUACAUUUGUAUUUUUAACAGUUUGGAUUGCAAGAGCCUCUAAUAUUUUUAAUCCCUAUUUCCUUGAGAAGACGCUCAAUAAAGAUACCUGAGAUGGAAACAGAUACCGAAGAAGAGUCCAAAUCUCUCCACAUGUUGAUCCAUCUCACUCAUCAUGCUCUCUAUAUCACAUCCAAAAUGAAGAACUCUUCUGCAGAGAUCACUUCAGGAAGUCUUCUAGAAAGAAAAUAAAAUCAAGUACACACAAGAAGAGACUACCAGAAAGAUAUGUGCUCUGUUCUCAGUCUAGUGAAAAGUGAUAAAAAAAAGAUGUAGAUCUGCAGUUUCCGACAGGACAGCUUAUUCACACCAAGCUGAAGGAAAGUUAGGUUUGUACUGUGGGUGCUUUGGAUGGACAUGGACUCUGGGAGGAUUCCAUUACAAACAUACAAUCAAACAAGCAAAAGUAUAGCUAUUUCCACUGGAAUUCUUGAGAUGCAGUUCUGGGGAGAAGGUUAUAUUACAUGAAUGCGGCUUUUACACAGACACUGUUUUAGAAGUGUGGUUCAAAGACCUGCCAUGUGGAAACAAAUACAAGCAGAGCUCAACUACUGAUGGGUGCUAAAGGAUGAAAUAAGGUGAGCGGAGCCUGAAAUUCAGGACACAUUCCAGUGUGUUACUUGGAUUCAUGUCACUGUUUGUUUUUUUUUAAUUUCUUGCUUCAUUCUGAUCCUCAAUGAAGCAUUGGUAGGUCUUGUCAGACUCUGGAAUAUUAAGCAAGAAACCCAGUGUUGGUAGAAGGACUUUUUUUGUAGAGAAGUUCAGUUGAAAAGCAACAGACAAACAAAAGUUGAAAUCGAGAAAUUAGGAAUAACUCAUGUAGCAAAAAAAAAGGAGUUAAGACUUUAAAAACACUACGAUUUUCACAUUGGUUUCAUAAUGAAGAUAGCGAUUUUGAUAAUUUGUCUGCCUUAUCCCUGUAAAUGUUUAUAUCAACUGAGAAAAAAAAUAGAUACCUCAGAGAUGUGGUGUUCAGACAAGUUUCAUGAAAAUCAGUCACUGAAUACAUGGGAAGACUCAAAAGAAGGCUCUCCUGACAGAAGGGCUGAAGCCUGAGUUCACCAUUGUUUCUUUUUUAGCUAGAGGGCAACCAGAGUGCACAUACAGGCUGGGUAGCCAGCAUGCUCAGUUUGACACUAGCCACAGCAUGUUGCAGAUGCCUUUACCAGGACUUAACAUAGGGCAAAAGGAUCUGGGAUUUCAGUAUAAGAUGUGACAAAAGAGAAGAGAAUUAGAGACAUUUCAGGGAGAUAUAAUAUGCAGUGCGGGCAAAAGUUUGUGGAAAUGGGUUUUUACUACCUGUGUUGUUUGAGGAAUGACUUACCGAACGUGUAUGAAAAAGCUGUAGAGGGGGGUUUAUGGCAUCAGCAGUGAUAAUAUGAUAAACUAUGAUAAUCAUUAAAAAACCUACACUAUUUUUCCAGUGUGAUGGAGGGAAAAGUCUUUUUUUCUUCCUCUCUGAAAAAAUCACAUUUUUUUUUCCAAUAAUAUCAUACAAUAGAUUAAAAAAGAAUGUUUCAAUUACAUAAAACUAGUAUACAC
Molecule: long non-coding RNA, 1703 nt
Filed under: Gallus gallus (chicken)
Lineage: Eukaryota; Metazoa; Chordata; Aves; Galliformes; Phasianidae
Description: lncRNA (ENSGALG00010009061.1)
Source: RNAcentral